UACAUGCAAGUCGUACGCACUGGCCCAACUGAUUGAUGGUGCUUGCACCUGAUUGACGAUGGAUCACCAGUGAGUGGCGGACGGGUGAGUAACACGUAGGUAACCUGCCCCGGAGCGGGGGAUAACAUUUGGAAACAGAUGCUAAUACCGCAUAACAACAAAAGCCACAUGGCUUUUGUUUGAAAGAUGGCUUUGGCUAUCACUCUGGGAUGGACCUGCGGUGCAUUAGCUAGUUGGUAAGGUAAUGGCUUACCAAGGCGAUGAUGCAUAGCCGAGUUGAGAGACUGAUCGGCCACAAUGGAACUGAGACACGGUCCAUACUCCUACGGGAGGCAGCAGUAGGGAAUCUUCCACAAUGGGCGCAAGCCUGAUGGAGCAACACCGCGUGAGUGAAGAAGGGUUUCGGCUCGUAAAGCUCUGUUGUUGGAGAAGAACGUGCGUGAGAGUAACUGUUCACGCAGUGACGGUAUCCAACCAGAAAGUCACGGCUAACUACGUGCCAGCAGCCGCGGUAAUACGUAGGUGGCAAGCGUUAUCCGGAUUUAUUGGGCGUAAAGCGAGCGCAGGCGGUUGCUUAGGUCUGAUGUGAAAGCCUUCGGCUUAACCGAAGAAGUGCAUCGGAAACCGGGCGACUUGAGUGCAGAAGAGGACAGUGGAACUCCAUGUGUAGCGGUGGAAUGCGUAGAUAUAUGGAAGAACACCAGUGGCGAAGGCGGCUGUCUGGUCUGCAACUG
RNAcentral lists this ribosomal RNA (734 nucleotides) under uncultured Bacilli bacterium. Its description in RNAcentral is "bacterial SSU rRNA". It matches the Rfam family "Bacterial small subunit ribosomal RNA", at positions 52 to 742 of the family's 1533-position model. Lineage: Bacteria; Bacillati; Bacillota; Bacilli. The record is from RNAcentral.